RNAcentral lists this ribosomal RNA (253 nucleotides) under uncultured bacterium. RNAcentral's name for it is "partial 16S ribosomal RNA". It matches the Rfam family "Bacterial small subunit ribosomal RNA", at positions 524 to 776 of the family's 1533-position model. The record is from RNAcentral.
UACGUACCGUACGAACGUUAUUCGGAAUCACUGGGCUUAAAGAGUCCGUAGGCGGCUUUAAAGGUGAGGUGUGAAAUCCCACGGCUCAACCGUGGAACUGCGCUUCAAACCAUAAAGCUAGAGGGAGAUAGAGGAAAGCGGAACUGAUGGUGGAGCGGUGAAAUGCGUUGAUAUCAUCAGGAACACCGGUGGCGAAAGCGGCUUUCUGGGUCUCUUCUGACGCUGAGGGACGAAAGCUAGGGGAGCGAACGGG